Arachis ipaensis is the source of this 1102-nucleotide non-coding RNA. The record is from RefSeq and is a predicted model, not a curated record. NCBI's taxonomy places the organism in Eukaryota, Viridiplantae, Streptophyta, Magnoliopsida, Fabales, Fabaceae.
AAAUUGCUAACUAGAUGUCAUGUUUUAGGAACUAUCCUCUGUUAAUGGCUACAUGGAAGGUUGCCCCUACUCUGGCAGCUGGUUGUGCUGCGAUAUUAAAGGCUUCCGAAUUGGCAUCUGUGACAUGUUUGGAGUUGGCUGACAUAUGCAAAGAAGUGGGCCUUCCUCCGGGUGUACUAAAUAUUCUCUUUAUGUAUAAUAGAUUAGAAAUAAAUCUAGUAACUGAAGAACAAUAAAUAUACGAGAAGCUCGUACACCAUACGUCUAAGAUGAAGCGCAUUGGAAUUGAUACUGAAGCACUCAAAGAGCAUUUUGGGAAGAAAAUUAUGGAGCUUGAGCAGGAAAAAAGAAAACUACAGGUUUGGACAUAGUUAGGUUUAAAUACUUUUUAGAUAGCACACAAACGAAAAGUUUUUUCUAGUUUGGUUUAUUUUUUGUCUACAUUUUUUGUGUAACUUGUUUUCAAAAUUUUGUAAAAAGGAAGUUGUGAAAAUAAGAAAUGAAGACAGUAAACAGUAUUUUUCUUAUGUUUAUGUUUUUCUUUUCACAAUUAUGAAAAUAGAAAACAUAAGAAUGAAAACAAGGAAUCAAAAUACUAUUUAUAGAAAUCUCAAGAUGUUCAUGGCCAAAAAUUGAAAGCACUAGAAGCACAGAUUUUAGACCUCAAGAAGAAACAAGAAAACCAGGUGCAGCUACUAAAGCAAAAGGAGAAGAGCGAAGAAACUAUAAAAAAAUUGCAAGCUGAAAUACAGUACAUCAAGGCUCAAAAGGCACUUGUGUUUUAUUUUUCGAGCUACUUAAUUAUUGAAAUUUUUACUUUGUAUCUGAUAUUGGAUUUAUGAAAACUGUAGGUCCAAUUGCAGUAUAAAAUGAAGCAAGAGGCAGAACAAUUUCGACAAUGGAAGGCUUCUCGAGAAAAGGAGUUACUUCAGCUGAAAAGAUUUGCUUGGAGAGAACUGCAAAUAGCUACAGACAACUUUAGUGAGAGAAAUGUUUUAGGACAGGGAGGCCUUCGGAAGGUUUAUAAAGGUGUUCUACCCGAUGGCACAAAAAUUGCUGUUAAAAGGUUAACCGAUUAUGAAAGUCUCGGUGGAGAUGCUGU